This 691-nucleotide ribosomal RNA is filed under the name Lactobacillus crispatus. RNAcentral's name for it is "bacterial SSU rRNA". It matches the Rfam family "Bacterial small subunit ribosomal RNA", at positions 55 to 707 of the family's 1533-position model. The record is from RNAcentral. Lineage: Bacteria; Bacillati; Bacillota; Bacilli; Lactobacillales; Lactobacillaceae.
AUGCGAGUCGAGCGAGCGGAACUAACAGAUUUACUUCGGUAAUGACGUUAGGAAAGCGAGCGGCGGAUGGGUGAGUAACACGUGGGGAACCUGCCCCAUAGUCUGGGAUACCACUUGGAAACAGGUGCUAAUACCGGAUAAGAAAGCAGAUCGCAUGAUCAGCUUUUAAAAGGCGGCGUAAGCUGUCGCUAUGGGAUGGCCCCGCGGUGCAUUAGCUAGUUGGUAAGGUAAAGGCUUACCAAGGCGAUGAUGCAUAGCCGAGUUGAGAGACUGAUCGGCCACAUUGGGACUGAGACACGGCCCAAACUCCUACGGGAGGCAGCAGUAGGGAAUCUUCCACAAUGGACGCAAGUCUGAUGGAGCAACGCCGCGUGAGUGAAGAAGGUUUUCGGAUCGUAAAGCUCUGUUGUUGGUGAAGAAGGAUAGAGGCAGUAACUGGCCUUUAUUUGACGGUAAUCAACCAGAAAGUCACGGCUAACUACGUGCCAGCAGCCGCGGUAAUACGUAGGUGGCAAGCGUUGUCCGGAUUUAUUGGGCGUAAAGCGAGCGCACGGCGGAAGAAUAAGUCUGAUGUGAAAGCCCUCGGCUUAACCGAGGAACUGCAUCGGGAACUGUUUUUCUUGAGUGCAGAAGAGGGAGAGUGGGAACUCCAUGGUGUAGCGGGUGGGAGUGCGUAAUGUAUGGGAAGAAC